GUCAGGAUAGCUCAGUUGGUAGAGCGGAGGAUAAUUAGUCCUUAGUCACCAGUUCAAUUCUGGUUCCUGGCA
Spinacia oleracea (spinach) is the source of this 72-nucleotide non-coding RNA. Lineage: Eukaryota; Viridiplantae; Streptophyta; Magnoliopsida; Caryophyllales; Amaranthaceae. The record is from Rfam.